RNAcentral lists this ribosomal RNA (478 nucleotides) under uncultured bacterium. RNAcentral's name for it is "partial 16S ribosomal RNA". It matches the Rfam family "Bacterial small subunit ribosomal RNA", at positions 28 to 523 of the family's 1533-position model. The record is from RNAcentral.
GACGAACGCUGGCGGCGUGCUUAACACAUGCAAGUCGAACGGUAAGGCCCUUCGGGGUACACGAGUGGCGAACGGGUGAGUAACACGUGGGUGAUCUGCCCUGCACUUCGGGAUAAGCCUGGGAAACUGGGUCUAAUACCGGAUAGGACCACUGCCUGCAUGGGUGGUGGUGGAAAGCUUUUGCGGUGUGGGAUGGGCGCGCGGCCUAUCAGCUUGUUGGUGGGGUGAUGGCCUACCGAGGCGACGACGGGUAGCCGGCCUGAGAGGGUGACCGGCAACGCUGGGACGGGGAUAAGGCCCAGACUCCGAGGGGAGGCAGCAGUGGGGAAUAUUGCGCAAUGGGCGGAAGCCUGAUGCGGCGGCGCCGCGUGAGGGAUGACGGCAUUCGGGUUGUAAACCUCUUUCGGCACCGACGAAGCGAAAGUGACGGUAGGUGCAGAAGAAGGACCGGCCAACUACGUGCCAGCCGCCGCAGUAA